GGGGAACCUCAAGAGAUGCUUCACGCAGGGAUUCAGUGGAUCGUUUUCGAGACUCAUUGCUGGCCAAAAUGCCGAAACUAUAUGACUGUAGAAUGUUUGCCCUUAAAUGGGACAUCUAUACUACCCACUCCAAAACUCGGGGAACACCACAGAAAACGAGUUGCUUGGUCUCUUUUGGACUUAAUAUCGUUCCUGUGAGAUGGGUGCUCUUCUGCAUAUCAUCCCCUUACCAAGGAUGCCCUGCUUCGCUGGGAAGAGGCAGCUGGUGCCCUGCCUUCCAGGAUGCACGCUUGGUCUUUGAGUUGCCCUCUUUCCUAAUUGGGCUCCACUGAGAGGUACCGCCCCCAUCUGGUCCUCACCAUUCAUUUCCCUGCUUCAGCUUUGCACUGCCUUCCCCUUGUACAAUCCUAUUGGCUCAUUCUUACUCACAUCUGCAGUCCUUAUGAGAACCGUGGGAAGUCUCUACAUGGCCCCUCCCUCUGUCUAGAGAGCAUGUGAUCUGAGAGGCACCUCGAAGCUGUCCUCAGACCUGCCAGCUAGGUUUGCUCAGGUAUCACUCUUCUUCCUCCCCGGGGCCCUACUGAAGACAGACCGACCUACCCGGUCCUGGAAGAGGGGUGUGAAUGGGACUCUUUACAACCCUCCUACAACAUCCACUGCCCAGCCUCAACCCUUCAACCAUAAUUCAGCCCAGCGGCAAUGAAGAUGCUGAAGACCUCUUCAAGAAAUCACAGCAGGCACCUAAGUCCCAACAUCAUCCGCUGUACUUUUU
This is a long non-coding RNA of Mus musculus (house mouse), 772 nucleotides long. RefSeq annotates it as predicted gene, 41976. Lineage: Eukaryota; Metazoa; Chordata; Mammalia; Rodentia; Muridae. The transcript has 3 exons. The record is from RefSeq and is a predicted model, not a curated record.